Molecule: ribosomal RNA, 796 nt
Filed under: Bacillus halotolerans
Lineage: Bacteria; Bacillati; Bacillota; Bacilli; Caryophanales; Bacillaceae
Description: bacterial SSU rRNA
Rfam family: Bacterial small subunit ribosomal RNA
Source: RNAcentral
GGCCGGGGGGGGUUUUUUUUUUUUAAUUUUUUUUUUUUUUUCCCAGACGACGCUGGCGGCGUGCCUAAUACAUGCAAGUCGAGCGGACAGAUGGGAGCUUGCUCCCUGAUGUUAGCGGCGGACGGGUGAGUAACACGUGGGUAACCUGCCUGUAAGACUGGGAUAACUCCGGGAAACCGGGGCUAAUACCGGAUGCUUGUUUGAACCGCAUGGUUCAAACAUAAAAGGUGGCUUCGGCUACCACUUACAGAUGGACCCGCGGCGCAUUAGCUAGUUGGUGAGGUAAUGGCUCACCAAGGCAACGAUGCGUAGCCGACCUGAGAGGGUGAUCGGCCACACUGGGACUGAGACACGGCCCAGACUCCUACGGGAGGCAGCAGUAGGGAAUCUUCCGCAAUGGACGAAAGUCUGACGGAGCAACGCCGCGUGAGUGAUGAAGGUUUUCGGAUCGUAAAGCUCUGUUGUUAGGGAAGAACAAGUACCGUUCGAAUAGGGCGGUACCUUGACGGUACCUAACCAGAAAGCCACGGCUAACUACGUGCCAGCAGCCGCGGUAAUACGUAGGUGGCAAGCGUUGUCCGGAAUUAUUGGGCGUAAAGGGCUCGCAGGCGGUUUCUUAAGUCUGAUGUGAAAGCCCCCGGCUCAACCGGGGAGGGUCAUUGGAAACUGGGGAACUUGAGUGCAGAAGAGGAGAGUGGAAUUCCACGUGUAGCGGUGAAAUGCGUAGAGAUGUGGAGGAACACCAGUGGCGAAGGCGACUCUCUGGUCUGUAACUGACGCUGAGAGCGAAAAGAAG